UUUCCCUUAGGAUAGCUGGAACACGUAAUAAAGCAGUUAUAUUCGGUAAAGCGAAUAAUUAGAGGAAUUGUGGGACGAAACGUUUUCAACCUAUUCUCAAACUUUUAAUGAGUAUGACAUCUUGCUUGCUUGAAUGAAACAUAGACAUUGAAUGUGUGCUCCAAGUGGGCCAUUUUUGGUAAGCAGAUCUGGCUU
This 195-nucleotide non-coding RNA is filed under the name Onchocerca ochengi. Its description in RNAcentral is "Eukaryotic large subunit ribosomal RNA". It matches the Rfam family "Eukaryotic large subunit ribosomal RNA", at positions 967 to 1156 of the family's 3401-position model. Lineage: Eukaryota; Metazoa; Nematoda; Chromadorea; Rhabditida; Onchocercidae. The record is from Rfam by way of RNAcentral.